UACGUAGGGACCAAGCGUUGUUCGGAUUUACUGGGCGUAAAGGGCGCGUAGGCGGCCCCGCAAGUCACUUGUGAAAUCUCUGGGCUUAACCCAGAAAGGUCAACCGAUACUGCGGGGCUAGAGUGCAGAAGGGGCAACUGGAAUUCUCGGUGUAGCGGUGAAAUGCGUAGAUAUCGAGAGGAACACCUGCGGCGAAGGCGGGUUGCUGGGCUGACACUGACGCUGAAGCGCGAAAGCUAGGGGAGCGAACGGG
RNAcentral lists this ribosomal RNA (253 nucleotides) under uncultured bacterium. RNAcentral describes it as "partial 16S ribosomal RNA". It matches the Rfam family "Bacterial small subunit ribosomal RNA", at positions 524 to 776 of the family's 1533-position model. The record is from RNAcentral.